RNAcentral lists this long non-coding RNA (207 nucleotides) under Hordeum vulgare. Its description in RNAcentral is "long non-coding RNA (HVUL_LNC006042)". The record is from RNAcentral. Lineage: Eukaryota; Viridiplantae; Streptophyta; Magnoliopsida; Poales; Poaceae.
AACUCGUACCUGGAGCGCCCAGCUUGCGGAUUUUGAACGGCGGAGGGCUCCGCGCGUCUUCCCCGCCGCCAACCGCCGUCGCAGUUCUUGUGGGGGAGGGGGUGGGGUCGUUGAGAUUGCUAUACUCGCCGCCGCCAGCCAUCGCAGUUGGGUGUUCACUCCUGAUAUUCACCGCCGUGCACGUGUGCCUCAAAAAAACUUCAAGCC